Molecule: ribosomal RNA, 484 nt
Filed under: uncultured bacterium
Lineage: Bacteria
Description: partial 16S ribosomal RNA
Rfam family: Bacterial small subunit ribosomal RNA
Source: RNAcentral
AUUGAACGCUGGCGGCAUGCUUUACACAUGCAAGUCGAACGGCAGCGCGGGCUUCGGCCUGGCGGCGAGUGGCGAACGGGUGAGUAAUGCAUCGGAACGUGCCCAGUAGUGGGGGAUAGCCCGGCGAAAGCCGGAUUAAUACCGCAUACGACCUGAGGGUGCAAGCGGGGGACCGAAAGGCCUCGCGCUAUUGGAGCGGCCGACGUCGGAUUAGCUAGUUGGUGGGGUAAAGGCUUACCAAGGCGACGAUCCGUAGCUGGUCUGAGAGGACGACCAGCCACACUGGGACUGAGACACGGCCCAGACUCCUACGGGAGGCAGCAGUGGGGAAUUUUGGACAAUGGGGGCAACCCUGAUCCAGCCAUGCCGCGUGCGGGAAGAAGGCCUUCGGGUUGUAAACCGCUUUUGUUCGGGAAGAAAUCCUCUGGGCUAAUACCCCGGGGGGAUGACGGUACCGGAAGAAUAAGCACCGGCUAACUACGUG